RNAcentral lists this ribosomal RNA (251 nucleotides) under uncultured prokaryote. RNAcentral's name for it is "partial 16S rRNA". It matches the Rfam family "Bacterial small subunit ribosomal RNA", at positions 525 to 775 of the family's 1533-position model. The record is from RNAcentral.
ACGAAGGGGGCUAGCGUUGUUCGGAAUCACUGGGCGUAAAGCGCGCGUAGGCGGACCGUUAAGUCGGGGGUGAAAUCCUGGGGCUCAACCCCAGAACAGCCUUCGAUACUGGCGGUCUCGAGUCCGGGAGAGGUGAGUGGAACUGCCAGUGUAGAGGUGAAAUUCGUAGAUAUUGGCAAGAACACCAGUGGCGAAGGCGGCUCACUGGCCCGGUACUGACGCUGAGGUGCGAAAGCGUUGGGAGCAAAAAG